UUGAAUAAAGAAGAAUAAUGCUACUUGGACAGGGCAGAAAACAGGGUUAAAAACAGGCUUUUGAAUUUGCUGACGUGGCAUAAGUAAGUUGAAUAAAGAAAUAAAAGAAAAGAAAAAGAAAACCGGGGGCUUACUGCUGAUAAGCUAGAAAACCACAACAAAAACAACAACACUUCUCUCCAAAAUCGAACCGAAAGAAGACGUAAUAAUUGUAAAUACAAACCCUCCGUCUCCGCCGUCGCGUUGCACCUUGCCUUCGCAGAAUGUGGCGCCGUACCGGGUUGAUAACUGAAACCACAAUAAGGCUCUUACCAACAUCACAGCUUCUCUCUCCCGAAAUCGAACAGGAAGAAGACCCAAAAUUCAAAACCCAAACCCCCUAUCUUCACCGUCACGCCACACCUUCGUCGGAUACACGUAUUUAGCGGGGUUUUCCUUGCUCUAUACAUACAGGUUGUAUCUAUUUCUUUUUUCUUUUUUCUUUUUUUUUAAUCUUUUCGAGAUAUAUUUGAAGAAAAAACCAGGAUCUUUUUUGCUUGCGUGUUACUGUUUUUAGCUUUGUUUCCUAACCUUUUUGAAUUUUUUUAAAGAAUGUGAGAUUUGGAUUUAACUUUUUGGGUUCAAUGGAAAAUAAUUUAUUCUGGGUGUAUACUAUUUUGGGAGGAUAACAUUGUAAAUCCAUUGUCAUUGCUUUUUUGCAAAUUGUAAUCUUGAAGAGAGUUAAGUCCUGGAACCAACUGGAGGAAGAAUCCAUGUAUCUAAGUAAUUUUUGGGGACUUGAUUUUGAUGAUUUAAGUAUGUGUCUGAAAUUUUUUUGGUAAUCGAGACCUCAAUAAUUUUCUAGUCUUCUGUAUUUUGAGGAGAGUGUAUGGACUCGAAUGGAAAUUGUGGAAUUGAUUAUUGUUACUUUUCUCAGGAAGAAAAAUGAUCUAUUUGAGAUGCUAUCUGACAUUAAACCAAAAACCACAUGCGUUGCAACUGUUAGGGAAAUGACUAAUAAGUCAUAGCUUAGAGCAGAAACGAAUGUCAAUGCCACAACAAACCUCAGAUGCUGUAAAAGAGAAGAUUCUACACCUGGGCUGAUACAAGUUCACAAUAUCAAGAUAUAUUUGGACCGGGACAUUCAUUUCCAACCAUACCGUGGUCUGCAUAGAGUAUUAAGACAGUGUGAAAGCACUGAGAAUGUGAUCCAAUUUAGGUAUUCCGAGAAUCACCAGACGACACAGCAGAGGAGUAAGACACGUAAAGAUGACAAUCACUGUUCCUUCCAUCUCCUUUCGCCACGCCCACUAUCACCAAUACAUUUUGUACAUCAAUACAUUUAAUCAGUUGUAGUCUUUUUGUACACCAAUACAUUUCAUCAGUUUUGGCUUCCAUUAAGGCUUUGUUCGUUCAUACGGUGUCUUUGAUAGAUUGGUGUGGCUACGUUUUAGUUGUGAUUUUUAUAUAAUUCAUUUUCGCUAUUGUCCUGAUUAGCUUAUCUGGUUGGGGAUUCACAUUAAUUCUCAUUUGUGUAUUGUAAUGUAAUUAUGUGUUAUCUGUGUGAAGAAAUGAAAUCUUUACACAUUGUUUUCAUUGUUAAUUGUUAAUUUGAGGUCAGA
RNAcentral lists this long non-coding RNA (1601 nucleotides) under Olea europaea subsp. europaea. The record is from RNAcentral. Lineage: Eukaryota; Viridiplantae; Streptophyta; Magnoliopsida; Lamiales; Oleaceae.